Molecule: long non-coding RNA, 594 nt
Organism: Crotalus tigris (Tiger rattlesnake)
Lineage: Eukaryota; Metazoa; Chordata; Lepidosauria; Squamata; Viperidae
Exons: 2
Source: RefSeq, a predicted model, not a curated record
UGGCCCAAAGUUACCCAGCUGGCUUUCAUGACUAAGGCAGGACCAGAACUCCCUGCCUCCUGGUGAUUGGUCUAUCAGCCAGCCUGCUUUCAUCGCUAAGGCAGGAUUUGAACUCAUGAUUUCCCGCUUUCUCACCAUUUGCUCUUCCUUGCUUCCCUCACAGAAUGCUUUAAUUUGUAUUUCCUGUCCUAGAAGCUCUAGAUGUUCCUUUCUGGAUUUCUGAGUGAAUCUAGUCAUCUUAUGUGGAGACAGCUCUACUUGCAAUCCUUGUGUGCAGAAUCUUCUGUGGGGAAAGAGCCUUCAAUCCCCUGAUCAUGAGGAGCCUUUGAGCAGAGAGGGUGAGAGAGUCAGCGUCAUCCCAGAAACAGAGAGUGACUCCAAACAACAUCUCCAAGGCUCUCGUGACAUCAAUCAAGCUGACUCAGAAAUUGCCAAAAUAAUAUCAAACGAUGGAGAAGGUGGGAGGUUGUGCUAGAGGUAAAAGAAAAACAGCCUCCUUCCGUGGGAACAGGGCGUUCGAAAGGGCUGGUGGAUCCCUGGACCUUGGGAUGAAUUGCAUGGGCAGGCCUUAAAAUAAACAGGGAGGUUAUGGUA